AGGAUAAACGCUGGCGGCGUGCCUAACACAUGCAAGUCGAACGUCUCUUCUUUCGGGAAGAGGAGUGGCGGACGGGUGAGGAACACGUGGGAACCUGCCCUUCAGUGAGGAAUACCGGCGAGAAAUCGCCGACAAGACCGCAUAGCCCUCUCUGGUGAGAGCCAGAGAAGGAAAGCCUCGCAAGAGGCGCUGGAGGAGGGGCCUGCGUCCGAUUAGCUAGUUGGUGGGGUAAGAGCCUACCAAGGCGUCGAUCGGUAGCUGGUCUGAGAGGACGAUCAGCCACACUGGGAUUGAGAACGGCCCAGACUCCUACGGGGGGCAGCAGUGAGGAAUUUUCGGCAAUGGGGGAAACCCUGACCGAGCAACGCCGCGUGCAGGAAGACGGCCUUCGGGUUGUAAACUGCUUUUCUUUGGGACGAGCAAGGACGGUACCAGAGGAAUCAGCCCGGCUCACUACGUGCCAGCAGCCGCGGU
Molecule: ribosomal RNA, 474 nt
Filed under: uncultured bacterium
Lineage: Bacteria
Description: SSU rRNA
Rfam family: Bacterial small subunit ribosomal RNA
Source: RNAcentral